RNAcentral lists this microRNA (22 nucleotides) under Saccoglossus kowalevskii. RNAcentral describes it as "Sko-Mir-4830-P2_3p* (star (passenger))". The record is from RNAcentral. Lineage: Eukaryota; Metazoa; Hemichordata; Enteropneusta; Harrimaniidae.
CUCCUUAUGCACCCCAGAGACA